UCUGCCCGCGGNUCGGGGAUGGCCCAUCGAAAGAUGGAUUAAUACCCGAUGGCGUGGUCACUCCGCAUGGAGUUUUCCACUAAAAGGGUUUUUCCGGCCGCGGAUGAGGAUGCGUAUGAUUAGGUAGUAGGCGGGGUAACGGCCCACCUAGCCUUCGAUCAUUAGGGGUUCUGAGAGGAAGGUCCCCCACACUGGAACUGAGACACGGUCCAGACUCCUACGGGAGGCAGCAGUGAGGAAUAUUGGUCAAUGGGCGAGAGCCUGAACCAGCCAAGUAGCGUGAAGGAAGACUGCCCUAUGGGUUGUAAACUUCUUUUGUUCGGGAAUAAAGUGCAGUACGCGUACUGUUUUGUAUGUACCGUUCGAAUAAGCAUCGGCUAAUUCCGUG
RNAcentral lists this ribosomal RNA (388 nucleotides) under uncultured bacterium. Its description in RNAcentral is "bacterial SSU rRNA". It matches the Rfam family "Bacterial small subunit ribosomal RNA", at positions 125 to 507 of the family's 1533-position model. The record is from RNAcentral.